AUGUGGAGUCAAGCGGAUCACCGGCUUUGGGUCGAUAACCCGGGUCACUUGGCUUUGGUGGUGGCGCCUCAAGUUGGUGGAUACAAGUUCACUAAGGUACUCAUGGAUGGAGGUAGCAGCAUUAAUAUCCUUUAUUAUGAUACUUUCCAUCGCAUGGUGUUAACCAAUAAAAAUCUUAAGCCAUCCAAUACUGUUUUCCAUGGAGUGGUGCCUGGUAAGUCGGUGUACCCUGUACGCAAGAUUGAGCUGGAAGUGGCCUUUGGAGACGAGCACGAUUCCAGGGCCGAGAAGUUAACCUUUGAAGUGGUCAAGAUCAGAAGCCCGUACCACGCUCUAUUUGGCCGGCCGGCUUAUGCUAAGUUCAUAACACGACCUUGUGAUGUUUAUUUGCAGCUCAAGAUGCCGGGUUACAAGGGAACCAUCACGGUGCAUGGAAGCGGGAAAAUAGCUUUGGAGUGUGAAGAAGGUGAUGAUGCUUAUGCUGAGUCUGUCUGUGCAACGAGGAGUUGA
This 510-nucleotide ribosomal RNA is filed under the name Triticum aestivum (bread wheat). RNAcentral describes it as "partial small subunit ribosomal RNA". The record is from RNAcentral. Lineage: Eukaryota; Viridiplantae; Streptophyta; Magnoliopsida; Poales; Poaceae.